This 270-nucleotide ribosomal RNA is filed under the name uncultured bacterium. RNAcentral's name for it is "partial 16S ribosomal RNA". It matches the Rfam family "Bacterial small subunit ribosomal RNA", at positions 32 to 312 of the family's 1533-position model. The record is from RNAcentral.
AAUCAACGCUGGCGGCGUGCCUAACACAUGCAAGUCGCACGAGAAAGGGGCUUCGGCCCUGAGUAAAGUGGCGCACGGGUGAGUAACACGUGAAUCAUCUACCCUCGAGUGGGGAAUAACCUAGAGAAAUCUGGGCUAAUACCGCAUAACACUUACGAGUCAAAGCAGCAAUGCGCUUGGGGAGGAGUUCGCGGCCGAUUAGUUAGUUGGCGGGGUAAUGGCCCACCAAGACGAUGAUCGGUAUCCGGCCUGAGAGGGCGCACGGACACA